RNAcentral lists this small nuclear RNA (105 nucleotides) under Chelonia mydas (Green sea turtle). Lineage: Eukaryota; Metazoa; Chordata; Testudines; Cheloniidae. The record is from RNAcentral.
UCGCAGGGGCCAUGCUAAUCUUCUAAAAUUGGAAUGAUACAGAGUAGAUUAGCAUGGCCUCUGCACAAGGAUGACACGCAAAUUCGUGAAGUGUUCCAUAUUUUU